GACGAACGCUGGCGGCGUGCCUAACACAUGCAAGUCGAGCGAUGAAGUUUCCUUCGGGAAACGGAUUAGCGGCGGACGGGUGAGUAACACGUGGGUAACCUGCCUCAUAGAGGGGAAUAGCCUCCCGAAAGGGAGAUUAAUACCGCAUAACAUUGCAGUUUCGCAUGAAACAGCAAUUAAAGGAGCAAUCCGCUAUGAGAUGGACCCGCGGCGCAUUAGCUAGUUGGUAAGGUAAUGGCUUACCAAGGCGACGAUGCGUAGCCGACCUGAGAGGGUGAUCGGCCACAUUGGGACUGAGACACGGCCCAG
Molecule: ribosomal RNA, 309 nt
Filed under: uncultured bacterium
Lineage: Bacteria
Description: bacterial SSU rRNA
Rfam family: Bacterial small subunit ribosomal RNA
Source: RNAcentral